UAUAUUUUAGUAUGUAUGUACAAGAGUUUUUGAAGCUUUAGGAAAUGAUUGAUUUUAUUAAGUAUAA
This 67-nucleotide transfer RNA is filed under the name Trigonopterus daun. RNAcentral's name for it is "tRNA-Gln". Lineage: Eukaryota; Metazoa; Arthropoda; Insecta; Coleoptera; Curculionidae. The record is from RNAcentral.